This is a long non-coding RNA of Populus trichocarpa (black cottonwood), 652 nucleotides long. RefSeq lists it as uncharacterized. The transcript is spliced from 3 exons. Lineage: Eukaryota; Viridiplantae; Streptophyta; Magnoliopsida; Malpighiales; Salicaceae. The record is from RefSeq and is a predicted model, not a curated record.
GUGGGACCUGACCAGACAGAAGAAGCUAUGGCUUUCUUGACGUUUGUGUAAGAUGAAGAUGAGAGAACAAGGGACCAGACAGGAGCUAUGGCUUUCUCGAUGCUUGUUUAAGAGGAUGCUGAUGCUGAUAUCAAGAAGAUGGAGCUCCCUUACGCCAUUACCCAAAUCUGCAACUCAGGAAAGCAAUUGAGUGGUCAUUUCCACUCCAGUCAAUGUGCUAGGAUUGUUUAGUGAUGGAAGAAAAUGUCAAAGAUGGCAUGGAUGAAGAACUUCGCGCAGACUCUCAAAGAUGGCAUGGAAAGCAAUUGAUUUGUUGAACCGUUGUUCUACAUGAUUCUCACAGGCAAUCCUUGACAGUUAUUCACUGUUACUCGGUCUGGUUUUGGAUUUCAAGAGGGUUUUCAGCAGAUUUUGUGCAUGUUCAUGAUGCGAGUAAUCAAUGGGUAGGGUACACACACACUCACAUGGUUUCUUACAGAAACUGUCCAUAUAUAAAUCACAUCCAUUUCCUUUAGAGUUGCAAAUCACACUGUCAAAAUAGAUAUUCACUAGAUAGGUUUUAUGAGCAAUGCUGUGCGUGGGUUUAUUAUUUUUUUAUUGUAGAAAAUGUAUUAAGAAUAUAUAAAUUUAUUUUUUCAAAAAUAAUUAAAAA